RNAcentral lists this ribosomal RNA (483 nucleotides) under uncultured bacterium. Its description in RNAcentral is "partial 16S ribosomal RNA". It matches the Rfam family "Bacterial small subunit ribosomal RNA", at positions 28 to 507 of the family's 1533-position model. The record is from RNAcentral.
GAUGAACGCUGGCGGCGUGCCUAACACAUGCAAGUCGAACGGAGUCGUUUUGGAAAUCUCUUCGGAGAUGGAAUUCUCGACUUAGUGGCGGACGGGUGAGUAACGCGUGAGCAAUCUGCCUUUAAGAGGGGGAUAACAGUCGGAAACGGCCGCUAAUACCGCAUAAAGCAUUAAAUUCGCAUGUUUUUGAUGCCAAAGGAGCAAUCCGCUUUUAGAUGAGCUCGCGUCUGAUUAGCUAGUUGGCGGGGUAACGGCCCACCAAGGCGACGAUCAGUAGCCGGACUGAGAGGUUGAACGGCCACAUUGGGACUGAGACACGGCCCAGACUCCUACGGGAGGCAGCAGUGGGGAAUAUUGCGCAAUGGGGGAAACCCUGACGCAGCAACGCCGCGUGAUUGAAGAAGGCCUUCGGGUUGUAAAGAUCUUUAAUCAGGGACGAAACAAAUGACGGUACCUGAAGAAUAAGCUCCGGCUAACUACGUG